Non-coding RNA from Triticum urartu, 3000 nucleotides. The record is from RefSeq and is a predicted model, not a curated record. NCBI's taxonomy places the organism in Eukaryota, Viridiplantae, Streptophyta, Magnoliopsida, Poales, Poaceae.
UUGAUUUUGUGCUGGUAGAUGUGUUUGUUGUGGGUUCUGCCAGGCUUGGCUGCUUGGCCUAACUCUACUUGUGCUACUAUAUGUUGUUGGUUGCCUCCUUGGUUAUUUGUGAAUCUGAAAACACUUUGUGAGAAGCAAGGAUUGAAGAGAAGGCUAUGAGGCAAUGAGAAGAGCUUCAUUUUUAGUUUUUUUUUAAGAAUUGAUGAAGGACAUGUCAUGUGUUCAGUUGCUAACAUUCUCUCUAUGGUGUAUGCACUUGUUGUUCAUUGCAUUGGAGGGAGAGGAAAACUCUUUAUGAGAAGCAAGGAUUGAAGAGAAGGCUAUGAGCCAAACAACAAGAGUAAGAAAGCCUUGCGGUGUGAAGGCAGUAGCACGCAGCUCCAAGUCAAGUGCAUUGGCCUCAACAUCAAGAGACCAGUACCAUGAGGUUCGCUUGAAUGCUUUCUAGCCCGGCAUCGAACAAUACCCUUGAUAAAACUACAUGGUGGACGCUAAUUGUCAUAUUUUGACCGACAAAUCUGUUUGAAUAGAUUAUACAUGAUUGAUGAUUAUCAGAUGAUUGCAGUCUACCCCAGGGUGAGUUUAUCCGUUUGGUUUAUGCAAAAAAAUGCUUAUUUGGCUUCAUGUGUAACAUGAUUUUUUAAUAUCUAAUAUUUGUUCUGUCCAACAUGAGUACAUGAGAAAGUAGUGCUACUGCUACAUUACUGCUGCUUGCCAAGGGAAAACAGAGUUCCAUUGUAAAAUGAAAUGCCAGAGAUCAAUGAGGAUUCGGGCGGCGGGGCGGGGACUGGUGAUAGGAAACAUAGGUCCAAGAAGAAAUCAAAGAGCAUGACUACAAGGCCGUAACGUUCAUCCCAGCAUGGACUUUGGACCGAAGUCACACCAAUUCAAGAGGGAAGUUGUUCCACCAUAACAUGCAUUACUGGAGUCAAACUCCCUCGAUGUCGGUAUUACCAGUUUCCUGUAUUUGUGACAAGUGUCAACAAUAGCGACUGAGUGAGUGAGACUGAAACUGAACUAACAAACAACUAAAAGAACUAGAAACCAUGAAUUCAUAAAGAUCAACAUUUAGAGGGUGAAUAUAUGUGGGAUGCUAUUCCAUGAUUUACCUCUAAAAAUUGCAUUAGCCACGUUUUGAUGGAUUUACUUUUGUCUAUCACUGUCUCGCUACCAACCUCAAGGCGGCCAAUUAGCUUGAGAUCAAUGUAGUACUUUUCCAGCAGGGAUUUCACAAUUGUCAAGCUGACACAACUUUCCAACUUGAGCAUUCAGAUACCGAACAGAGCAUUGCAUUAAAUAUAUAUACGUAUUUGAUCUAAUUGCUUAGUAAAUUCUACUCAUCAAGAAGUCGUCCCCAAAUUGCCUCUCCCUCCAUACAUAGCUACCUUGCCGCGCACACCAGGUUCGACCAGAUGGAGACCGCCCCUUCCUCUGACCGACAACGAUGGCCUGCAACUCACAAUCAGACCCUACUCACCAAAAUGACACCAGUAUGCUUUCUUACUAUAUUACCUAAUUCAAUGACAAGAAGGCAAAAACAAUGCUGAAGCAUCAGAAUGUGUCGUCGAUCAAUAUUUUAGUUAAUAAACCAUGAAAUGGAAAAGGUUAGUUUGAUCUCUCCAAGAAACAUCAUAUCUUAAACCAUGUUCACACGCGCCAUCUAAACCUAUGUGAUCCCUCUCGGUUCAGUUUUGAUGAGGUGUGUACAGAGAAAAGGCAACAUAAAGUUGGUCCAAAGAAAAUAGUGUAUAUUAACCUGGGAAGGGUAUGAAAAUUGAGCUGCAAGAUAAACCGUAGCAUAUUUUUCCUUUUUGCUCUCCUGAAAAUUUAUAUACAAUGAGAAAGUUCAUAUUAGCAUGUAGCAUACGUCAUGAAGGAAGCUGCGCUGAAUUAGUCAAAGGAAAUCCAAAACUGCAGGUCGAACCUUCAUCACCACAUUCGCGCCAAAGUGAGCUCAAAUGAACCAUGGACUAUCAGUCAGUAUAAUAUCCAUAGAUACAUCAUCAACCCUGUAACCAAAUUAUUGUAACCUUUCCAAGUUGCACUAUAACUUCAUGAAUCAUAAUUUAAAAACUGGAGAGUGGACAAGAAAAAAAAACUUUUUAGUUUAGUUGGUUUGAAGCCAAAUUCUAAUCAUAUAAAUGAAGCCAAAAAGAUGAGAGACACAAGAAGACAUUCCAGAUUUUGUUUGUGUGCAUUUUCUGGAAGUAAAAAAAUUGAUUUCUCACAUUCAUAGCCAUCAACUUAUCCCAAACAGGCAACAAAUUAAAGUACAUAUUAUGAUGCAGUUGGAAGAAAACAAUCAUAAGUAUGUCCAAACCAGAAACUCAAUGCAAUAUCUUUUAACAAAACUAUAUCAAGACUAUGCCCAGUCUCACCUUCUGUAGUAUUUUAAUGUAGACUCUUAUGGAUGCACUCGGUGUGUACUAGAGCCUAAUCAUCUUCGCCUAAUUAAAUCCUUUGGCACCUUAUUUCUUGCCUUCACUUGCUGCUGGCCACCAGGUUCAUACAGGAAAAUAAGGAAAGAAAAGAAAUCAGUAGUCAAGCCGACACAACACGCCAAUCGCCCAGAUGGGCGAAUCACGUCGGCCAUCACUUCUAGACUGCCUCGAAGGCUCGAUGUAAAGCUCAACGAGUGCAAUCGCUACUGUCGUGUUGUUUCUAUUCUAACGCGAUCUACUUGAGACCAGGAGACAAGAUUCUAUUGGGUCCAGCUCCUAAUGAUUGAUGAUGUAUAAUUUGUCUAAUUCCAGUUCUUGGAGCCACCCACUCCUCAAUUAGUGAUAGUCACGUUACUCAUGUAGUUUCUUAUGUGUUGCCCUGAAAACCGUACUAAUUGUAAUUCUGUUGCUCUCAAGUUUGCUAAUGUGUCGUUGUGUAGUUGCAAACGUCUUUCACUUGACUAGCCUGACCUCUUACUAUUAUAUUGCAUAUUUUGAGAUGAUAUUGGCACUCACUCGAGCAUCGAUUUUCUGUGUUCAUUGGAAGUUUUUUUAACUU